GACUCUCGACAACGGAUAUCUCGACUCUUGCAUCGACAAAGAACAUAGCGAAAUGCGAUACUUGGUGUGAAUUGCAGAAUCCCAUGAACCAUCGAGUCUUUGAACGCAAGUUGCACCCGAAGCCAUUAGGGCGAGGGCACGCCUGCCUAGGUGUUG
RNAcentral lists this ribosomal RNA (156 nucleotides) under Lupinus angustifolius (narrow-leaved blue lupine). RNAcentral's name for it is "rRNA 5_8S_rRNA". It matches the Rfam family "5.8S ribosomal RNA". Rfam says of the family: 5.8S ribosomal RNA (5.8S rRNA) is a component of the large subunit of the eukaryotic ribosome. It is transcribed by RNA polymerase I as part of the 45S precursor that also contains 18S and 28S rRNA. The record is from Rfam by way of RNAcentral. Lineage: Eukaryota; Viridiplantae; Streptophyta; Magnoliopsida; Fabales; Fabaceae.